CCCAAGACUCAAGGAUGCUCAGUGAAGCAAAUGGGAAUUCAAGUUAACUGAUGAUGCAAUUAGCAGGAGGCAGGCAGGCAAAGGAUUGUACUUCAGCAGGAGAUACGGCUCCCACUACCUUCCAGGGGAUGUUGAAAUAAUCUAGCAGAAAUAAAUACCGCCUCCUGACUUCUGUUUGGUGUUAUUUCAUACAGGUGAUGAAAGAAGACAGAUAGGAGAUAAGAGAGAAAGAAAGAAGAGAAAAGAAGGCAGAGAAUGAGAUUGAGAUAAAGAAUGAUUGCCAAAGCAAGCAAUCAAGAACUUGCGAGCUGCAAGUACUGAAGUAUUGUUCACGUCAGGGCAUUCUGCACUGUGACCUAGUCUUACAUAGAUGACUGCAGGGACAGUCAGGGAGUUUAGUCAUUCCGUCAAGAGAGAAAAGAUCUGGGGUCAUUUGCUGGUGAAUGCCCCAUCUAGGGUUGAUGAAAAGAAAUAACUGGAGCGUACAAGAUUGAAUCAGAAAUUCUUGAGUCGAAUUUCAUCAUUGUACCACUGCAAUCCAACAAUUUUAUGGUCCAUCCACUAUCUGUCCAUAAAUCCAGCAAACUCUUCAGGAUGAACAAUUAGACAACAAUCUGUGCCUUCCCCACUCCAUCUGAAUGCUGUGGAAGAUGGUGGAACCUCACUGGGAUCACAUCUGUCAAGUUUACGGGGUGAAGACAAGCACUCAGCAGGCUUGUGUGCUACCUUGUGAGUGCACACAGGUGCACAUCACUGCCAAACAAAGUCUAUGUCCUUGGAAAACUAUCUGCCUUGUCCCCUGGAUGCCAAACAUCAUUGUCUGUUUCAAAGAAGUGAACACCGCAAAAUACACUUUAUGACAAAAUUUAAAAUAAAUGUACAUUUUUGCCCUUGAAUAUUUACACUAGUUAGAAUGUCUCUUAGUUGCACACACUCUCACAUACAAUUUUAGCAUUUUUCAUAUAAUAUGUCUAAAUGAUCACUUGAAAAAUAAUUUACAUCAUAAGCAUUAAUACUUAUUC
This 1022-nucleotide long non-coding RNA is filed under the name Fukomys damarensis (Damara mole-rat). RNAcentral's name for it is "lncRNA (ENSFDAG00000033068.1)". Lineage: Eukaryota; Metazoa; Chordata; Mammalia; Rodentia; Bathyergidae. The record is from RNAcentral.